UUAAGUAUACCAGAACCACCUGACCAAGAAUAAUUAAUUUCAUAACUAUUAAGUAAACUGAAUUGAGCAUUUCUUAGAUUUUUUUGGUUUAGAGCUUUUAUUGUCUCUUUGGUAAUAUGUUGGAGUUUACUUUUCCUAUGGCAUACGUUUAUUUUGGAAGUUAUUUGCAUGUAUACUGGUAGGCGGUUGUCUACGUGCCCCCUUAUAGCUGCUUAUUAUCUAUAAGUGGUGAAUAUUAUUUUCCUGAGUUUAAUUGUAUGUAUCAAGCCGCUUGGUGGAAAGACUUCCUAUUGUAUCUUGACAUGUGAAUUGAAUGUUGUGGUUAUAUUAACAUCACUCUUUGUUUUGUUGUCUACUUCUUUAUUUCCCUUUGGAUGGGCGCUCAUGUCGGCGUGGGGCACAGCGGCCUCCGAGGGAGCCGAGCCGGCGGAUGUGGAGGCUGCCGAGCGGCGGUGCUCGCGUGAAGGAGGAAUAUGAUGAUGCGUGGAGUGGCGUGGGGUACCAACCAUCUCCAUCGAGUGGCGGUGCUCGCGUGAAGGAUGAGUUCGUUAGCACUCUCUCGGCUGUGGCUGCACGUUCAACUGGCCAGUCAAGGAGCUCCAGCAAGCAGGACACCCAGCGAGUGUUUAGGAUCCCACACACG
Molecule: non-coding RNA, 643 nt
Organism: Triticum urartu
Lineage: Eukaryota; Viridiplantae; Streptophyta; Magnoliopsida; Poales; Poaceae
Source: RefSeq, a predicted model, not a curated record